Lytechinus pictus (painted urchin) is the source of this 7411-nucleotide long non-coding RNA. RefSeq lists it as uncharacterized. The transcript has 3 exons. The record is from RefSeq and is a predicted model, not a curated record. Lineage: Eukaryota; Metazoa; Echinodermata; Echinoidea; Temnopleuroida; Toxopneustidae.
UUUUCAGAAGUGACAAUCAUUCCCUUCUUGCAGCCCCUUACUCAAAUUUUGAAGCUGUUUGAUGAUCAAUGGUGACAGCUGAUAAUUUGGAGAGCAUGCAAUAGCUGAAGGAAGAGUUUGAUCAUUAAUUCACCGCUUUAUUUCAUUGACGAUUGACAGAGCAUUCAGUCCUUAAACAAGAAUUCAUGGAUUUAUGAAGCUAUCAGAAUGAAAACGCAAUUGCUGGUGUAAGUAUCAUAAGAGUAAGUAUUCUUUCUGACAUAAUAUUUUUCUUUUCAAUUUCAUAAUUCAAUUCUGGCAGGAAAAAAAAUGUUAACCUAUUUAGGAAAGUGAUGCGGUAUAGCGGUUACAUUUUCACAACGUUAUCAAACCACAAAUGAGUUUGAUUUUAUUUCAACUUUUCUGAUUAUCAUGAUUAUUGAAUUUGAUUUAAAAAAAAUCAAAUUUAAUAAAAUAUAAAAGAUCACGAUCAGUAGUUAUUCAACACUUAAUUGUUUUCCGAAACAGAUUAAUGAGAACAAAUAUAGAAGUAUAAUACAAAGUGAUUUGUACAUUUCAGUUAUUACAAAACCACAUUUGAUUGGUUAAUUUUAUAGAUCUUAAAACAUUGAUUAAAAUAAUGAAUGCAUGCAAUUUACUAUAUUCAUAUUGUAAUGUUUACCUGGCUUGCUGUUUGUGAAUAUUUGAUGUGUUUGUUUGAAAAGUGUGGAGUUUAUAUAAUUAUGUAUAUAAAGUUUGUUGUGUGCAAUAAUAAUGUUUUGCUUUGCUGGCUCUUAGUGAUACUUCUAUCAUGUGCUGUAAUGUAGAAAUAUUAUUUUUAUAUGCUAUUUAUGGAUUAAAUUGCAAAAAUGCUCAUUAUAUUUACAUUGAUUUUUUUCCAAAACUUGGCUAUUUUACUCACGUCCCUAAUAUAUCAGAUAUUGUAACAGAACAUGGGAAAAUUAAAAAUAAAAGUUUGUUCUGGUUUGACUAACAAACGAUGGUGAGUUUGAUAUCAAAAGUGGCAGUCUUAUCAAAUAAUUGUUAUCUGGGAUUCGGGCAAGAUAUCAGAAAUUAUUUUGUUCAUCCGUCAUUCUUAAACGCUUUUCUUUCAGGUCUUAGUGUUUGGGGUAUUUUAUGUUGCAUUUCUUAUUGAUAAACUAAUCAAUAAUACAAGGCUCGGCUUUACCAAUCCGUGCUUUUGCAUUGUUUAUAAUUCCCGCCUUUCUGGUAAAUUAUCCCGAUCAGAGCAAUCAUUUUAUCUAUUUAUACCACGAACAGCCAGCAGAAGUAAUGCACUGUAUAAUUUGACUGUUUUCGUGUUUUUUUCUCAGAAUUGUUUUUCGCAAAUAUUUUCUUUAAAAUCUUAUGCACCCACAAGUUUGACUAUAUUGUUUAUAUCAAUGGUUUAUAGGGAAUGAUAAUACCUCCAAAAUAAAAAGAGGAAGUCGUGAUAAUUGUUAUAGAUUCCAACUCUGAAGCCCGCUUGGUGCUAAAAUAGUAAUAUGAGCCUGUUGUAGAGUAUCAUACGCUUAGUUGCUUCACAAUGAAAUAGGGUAUUGGAUAUGAAACUGUAAAUCAUUAUAUGAUUUCAGUGUAGAUUAUGAGUGCAGUGUUACCACGAAACACCCUGUUACAUUUUCCUUCCAAUCUUCGUUCACCUGUGUGCUUGUGAUGCCUUGCUUCUCUCUGCUCCUCAUCUAUGGCACUGUAGAAUUCACUGUGUGUUGUGUUUCCAUGGUAACAGCUGGUUCUUCAGUGCCAUUGCAUGCUGGGUAGAACAUUCAUGUUUCUGAUUUUCGAGUUUGAAGUGCUGCAUUCACCGUGAUCAUCUUCAUCAGCUUUCUUCAUUUUGUUUUCACCACGCACCAUCCUGCUUCAUAUUUUCCUUCUUCAUUAGAGUUUAUAUGUAUAUAUAUAUAAUAUAUGUGUAUAUAUUUUGCAAAGUAAAAAGGCUUACAUCGAAUGACCGGGUGAUGUUGAUGAGAAUUACCGUGCAACCCAGCCUUUUAAUGAUCAUGUUCACCAUAAAAAAUACCAUCAAAUACACGAAUUGUAGGAUACACAAUAACCGGUCGCUGAAUCAGUCAAAAAUUUCCGACGGGCCUUGACCUUCUUACAUCAUAAACUUGGUCCCAAAUGGUGGAACUUAGCUUUCGCAGACAACUGGAAAGUUUUCACAAAAGGUUGGGUAAUAGUACCCAAUCACCCGGUGGUUUAGAAAUAAGCCGAUAAUUAAUUGACAUUUCAUGCUUUCGUUUGGACGAAACCAAAAUUAUAUAAUAUAGGCCUUGGCUAUAUUCAUAUACAAUUACUAUAACAAAUUAAGAAUCAAUAUAACAUGUUAUAAUUUCUUCAAUAGAAUUUAUGUCCUUUUUCAUCAUCUGGAUUAAUAAUUGAUGUUAUCUAAGGAAUUUAGAGAAUGAUUAAAACAUGUAUUGUUUAUGCGUGCAUGGUUUCAUUGGUGUUUGCGGUGUAUUUCUUCAUGCUUUUCUGUGCCGUGGUUUCAUGUAAUCAGUGUGAUUGAUUAAAAAAUGUAACUGCUUAUGCCUUUAAAUAUUGUAAUAUUUUAUGUUGAACGAGAAUAUAGGAUGAUAAUAUUAAGCGGGUGUUACAAUCAUGCUCUACUUUGGCACUAUAUAAUCUCUCUGAAUGACCUUUACUCGUAAAGCUUAUAAUGUACGUACUUGGCCUUUUGUGAAAACAUACAGGUUUGUAUAUUUACAAGGAUAAUUACAAAAUUAUGCGGGGAUAUCUAAAAAGGACAAUGCACCUAUAAUACGUAAAUAUAUAAUUUUUACAUUACAUAAUGUAAUUCGAAAUCUGUCGAAGGCAUUACAGUGGAUGAAUAAGUUUAAAAUUUUUUUUAAACGAAAUACAGGGGUAUGCAUGAUGUAAUCGUUUCAUAUUAUGUCUUUAUAAUUUUAUUUGGUAUAUCCCUGUGUGUAUAUUAGUAUUCAUCUUAUAUACAUUGUGCGUUAUUAAGUUUUGUAUUGACUUUUAUCAUGUUUAUGUGAUAUGGGAGUGGGUUGCUCUUACAUGAAAAUAGUAAGUCUAUGAAGUAAUGGGCCUCUAUACUCUUAAAACAAAUCAGUCAAAUUGACUAGACAAGUAGUCAGCUGGGUGCAAUUGAUAUGCUUGUCGCAUUUCUGACAUAAUAUCCUAGUUACAAUUAACUCUGUUCUAGUAAAAUACGACUAGAAAAUAGUCAAAUAUGACUAGAAUAACAGUUGCACCCAGCUGACCCUAUUAACUCGUCAUUUUUGACUGAUUUGUUUUUUGAGUGAACAAUCUAUAUUAUCAUGAAUAUCGCUGGUGUUUUUUGUUUUUGUUGUUUUUCAAUUUACUAUUUUUUGGUCCAUGAUACCAGUAAAUUACAUCUUGUCUUUAUACAUGUGCAUGUAUACACGGACAUGUAAAAGCAACAUUGCAUUCACGACAAUGAAUUACAUCGUAUCCUCAUUUAACAAAGUAAAAAAAAAAAUCCAUAACGUUCUUAUUUCGUAUGAGAUUGACGUCCCACUCAGAACUCCAGAUUUGAUCAGUUUAUCUCCUCGCCAGAGCCGAGUCGACAGAGGUUUUCCGCUUAUAUACCCUAUACUAGUCUGUUUGGCACUAGCACAUUUUGCUUUACCUCUGCUGAGGCUCAAUAUCGUGUGCAAGAUAUGUUUGUGUCAAGCCAGAUUGGGGGGUGCAGCCAACAUGGAUGCUUGGAGGAGAACACCGUCGGCAUGAGAAAGAGAAAAUGUUGUAUGUUAGACUAAGUCAACAUCUAAUGAAGAUUGGUAACUGCAUAAGAGUUAAAAUCGUAAAGAUAUUGUUAAGUCAUGGUUUUUCUUAUAAAUAAUUGCAAAAAGGCAAGUUGCAAAAUACGCAUCAUCAAACACAAACAUGGCAUACUAAAGUAACUUUAAUUUUGUUCGUUUUUUCUUCUAAUGUUUAACAAGAUCAAAUGACGCUUUUUGUUAACCUUCCCCUUUUUUCAAGUUAGAGGUGAACGCAUUUUUACACAACAUGAUGUAUUUUCGUAUACAUUUUUGUCGUAUGCCUCACUGCAGACUCAGUCGAUUGAUGCUGGUAUGCAAUCUCGGGUUCUGAAGAAAUGAAUGUUCAGUGGGAGGAUGAGACAGAUAGAUAGAUAGGUAGGUAGGUAGGUAGAUAGAUAGAUAGAUAGAUAGUUAUAGAUAUAGGUAGAUGUUUUUACAGGCAAAUAAUUGCACAAAUAUCGUCCAAACAUACAGAUGAUUUAUAAAUGGUUGCAUGCGAGUGCUUAUAUACCACAUCCUUUAAUGAUUAAAUCACUUCAGUUUCAAUGAGUUGUUCUUAGAAUGAGAAAUCGUAUUGCUCACCUAAUCGUUUUGAGGGAUAUGAGGCAUUUUUUUUUCAAGAAGAAAAAAAUUGGAUCAAAAGGCAAGUUUUGUUAGGGAGCAUGUCAACCGAGUGAGCUUAGUGUUUCCCUAUUAGUGCACUUGCUUAUUAAUGUUUCGACUAAUUACGAUGGAAUUAUAAAACAUUUUAUAAUCAUGAUAUCAAACAAACUGCAUGUAGAUGGCGUAGACCUAUACUAGAUAUCUAGAGGGGAAUAAUUUGUUUUACACUGGGAGCCUGGAAACCAUGUCAAUUUCUUAAAAAGUUAAAGGUAUAUCAUACUAAUUCAAAAUAGGCUUAAAACGUAUACAGAAAUACCUUUUUUACAGAUUCAUGUAGUAUAUAUGGUUUUAAGCAUGGUAAGAAAGACGGAGAGACAAUAUCCCUUUAACACAAAACUUAUCGUUAAUUAUAGGUCUAGUUGUAUGAUUAACUAUAUUUUCCAUUGUGUGUAAUCAAUCAUACAAUUCACUUUUACGAUCAAUCGCUAAGCUUUGUGUUUUGGGGCCCAAGGUAUACAAAUGGGAAGCCAUUCAUUCUGUGUAUGGCUUUUCUCAUUACUUGGCACGAGCGCCACGCUAUUUUCGUUAAUUAGGACAUUACGUAACCAAAGUACAUUUCGCAAGAUGAUCGCAGUAUGAAUGUUGCUACAAAACUGAAUUAACAUAGGCCUAUGCUGUUGCGUGAUGUUAGUCUUGAGUUAAGACAUCGACUUGAACAGCUUGGAAAAGAAUAUGUUUUAUGGCUUCCCCAAUCUCGAGGAUUAUUCAAAACUUUGUUUGACAAGCACAUCGCAGAAAUAUCCCUGAAAGAUAUGAAAAAUAAUUUCUCGAAGAUAAGUAGUCGAUAUUUAGAGCUUGAUAUGAGAAAUUUGUAUAAAAAAAGUAUUUAUCAAAGGAGAUAAAGACGUUUAUAACUUUCUUCUUCGGAUUCGGACUUUAUUCGUUGUAACCUGCAGGGGAGGAUCCAUGAUUUUCUUUUACAAAAAGAGAGAGAGAGAGAGAGAGAGGGUCUUGACUUCCGUAUACAUGGGAGACAUUGGAUCCGCCAAUAACACACGUCUCGUGACAACGGAAUAUUGGGUGUGUAUGUGUUUAUUUUUAUAAUGCUUAUAGCAUUUCCAUUAAAGCCCCCAUCACACUUAUUCCGAAUCAAGCAGAGUUGGCCUGAAUGAAAGGACUAUUGUUUGACCACCAGUUGGUCAUUUAAAUCUACUUCGAACACCGUUCGAAAAUAUCCCUCGAAUGUUUUUAACAUGACCAAAACCUUCGGGACGGCCAAAAGAAAUGACAAAAAUAUUUUGAAUGCACUCAGAAUGCAGUCAGGAUAUUUAGAAUGCGCCUAGAAUGUCCAAGAAUGUUGCACGAAUUAUCAACCUGACUCCAUUGCGGUUCAUUUUGACUUGUGUACGAUGAUACACCUGGUCAAUUUACUGAAUUUCAUCUCCAGUUUGGUGCAUUCAUAAGUUCCUCCCAAAAAUUUCUAGAUUUUUUGAAUAUUUUUUUCUUUCCAGCUUCUGCUUGAUUCCUGCUGAUUCCGAAUAAGUGUGAUGGGGUUUUUAUUUGAAUGGAGGUUAAAGGAGUACUGUCAAUUUAAUGCCUUGCUCAUGGGCAUAGGUGCCGUGGCCGGGGAUCGAACCCCGGACUUUCAAGUCAGGCGCCUGAGACCACACGGCCACGUCAUCUCCACUAUCCGAUUAUUCAUCUGAUAAAACCAAUAUCCGAUUAUUAUUAUUCGUCCUGAAUGAUUUUAAAAGAUCGAUAAAACAAUGAGGGUGUUGCUGACAUAUCCAAGCAUAGAAAUAAAAAUCAACGCUAUUUUUUGAAUUUGUAGUAAUGACCAUAUUAAAAGUUCUUGUUCAGUGAUAUUCAUCAACAUAUACUUUUAAGGCGUAUUAUAAGAAGUAUGUGAAUAUCGUAUCAACCGCAGUACAGCAUCACGCAGCAAAAACUAAAAUGUUGCAUUACUUGAUUUAAAAAAAAAAUAUUUAGCCGUGAAAAAAAUAUAAGAAUUUUCUGUAGGGCGUGUUGAAAAUAAAUAUACAGUAAACAUCUAGAGCAACUGUUUUAGUGUGACGAUUAUUGGUCCAUUUGUGCGUUUUCUCGAGUAACUAAAAAAAAAAGAAAAUUAUUACUACUGUGAAUUAUUCCCUUUUCACACCUCCAAUAGUCUCUCGUUCUAUAUUAAGAAAUAAUUUAGCAUUUUGGAAUGAAAGAAACACAAACAUAAAAAAAAAUCAUUAUUUUACAUAUGUUAACUGUUCAAGAUAAUGUGAAUAAUGUUUUAGGAGAACAUUAACACUUACAAAAUACACUUUGGGUUAAUUUCCGUUUAUGUAAAACCACUUUAUUGUUAUGCUUUCAGAAUACAGAGAAACACAUUUUUUUUCAUUGAUUUACUCUGACACUUACUGACAAUAAGGUGGUGAUUAAAGAUGUAUUAAAUUCAAUAAAAACCAAUUGGCAUUUGCUUUAGGGAAAUACGUGAGGAGUGUUUUAAAAAUACACAUGAUUAGACAGGCAAGGACAAAAAAUCAUGCGUUUUCAAAUAAAAAGAAGUAUAUGAAAGCAAUUCAAUGUAUGCCGCUUUUACUCCGACAUGGAAAAGAAGUAGGAGCCGCAGCACGUAGCGCACUUCUACAAAAAUAUAAGAAUGUGGGUGAAUUACUAAAGAGAAACAUUGAUUAUUUUUAAGGGAAAGAUUAUUUUGUUUUGUUUCCUGCAUUUAUACAACCAUUUCAAAGUGUAUUUGUUUUACUGUUAUAAGUUUGACGUAAUCACUCAUAUAUUUACUCUGUAAUCGCUUCGAUGUUGACCUCUACAUAAUUGGAAGAGUAAAAUUACUAUUAUGUACUUUAAAUUGUAUUUAUGAGGGUAUGUUGUGUUGUACGACAAUACAGGAGGAAUGUAAUCUAAUGGAAGAGAAAGACGUCUCCUGGGUGAAUACCAGGCUAUUUUUUUUAAUUCAAACCAAUGUGCAAACUUUUGUCUUGGGGUAUAUUUAGCCUAUCCCACCCCAAAACACUAUAACAAGAUAUCAUAUUACCAUAUUAAGAUCUUAUUAC